UUCAGGAGUCACAUGCUCUCUUGCCAGGAAAUGUGACUGGAGGCUUUUGCGCCUACGUGUGAGGUCCGGAACCAUGGCAGCCAUCUUGGGCCCAUAAGGGGAGAUACCUGAGGAAAACAUGCUGAGGAUGGCAACGCUGACAAUGAAGCAAACUGGAGUCCUUCACAAAGUCACUGAGCUCGUGACUUAGCCUGGAGCUUCCCUACGUCAGAACUUCUAGUGAGGAGUGUCUGGUGGACCUGAGGACCCCUCCCAGCCCCACGGAAUGGAGUGAGCAUGGAGUGUCUGUGUUUUGUCAGUAACAACCGUCUGGUCUCCGGGAAACUUCCCCGAUCCUCAGAACAAAGCUCAAGAAUGUCCACAAGCAGCCACGUCCAUCCGAUGUCUGCUGGAAACCCGCUGUCCAUGCACGAAGUGCAAAGCUUCAAAAUACAUGAAGAAACCCAGUGGAAUCAGAAGGGAAGUUAGCACAUCCUCUGAUGUGCCCAAAGCUGUGCAUCGGAGAUCACGGGCAGCAGAAGACAGAGCCAGGGAAGUGGCGGCGUCCGAACGGAGACCCUGGCCAGGAGAGAAAGGGUUGGAAGCAAGAGCUCACAUGGAGGCAGCCCCCCAAGAAAGAGUGCUGGCUUCCGUGUUUGCCCAGCCCCUUGGUGGAAACAUGCCCGCUCGCCCAGAUACUUAUCCAGCACAUAGUCGGUCUCCUUAGAUGUUU
Molecule: non-coding RNA, 712 nt
Organism: Leptonychotes weddellii (Weddell seal)
Lineage: Eukaryota; Metazoa; Chordata; Mammalia; Carnivora; Phocidae
Source: RefSeq, a predicted model, not a curated record